Molecule: long non-coding RNA, 347 nt
Filed under: Vigna radiata
Lineage: Eukaryota; Viridiplantae; Streptophyta; Magnoliopsida; Fabales; Fabaceae
Description: long non-coding RNA (VRAD_LNC004565)
Source: RNAcentral
AAGAAGAAGAUGAUGAGAUAGAAAAAGAAGUGGUUGAGAGAAAAGAAAAAAAAGAGAAAAUAUGUGGAAAUAGAGAAGAAAGUAGGAGAAAAGAAAAAGAGAAAUUUGAGGGAGAAGGAAAGGAAGAAAAAGAGGAAGAGAGGAAUAAAGAAAAGAUCAUAUGAAAAACCCUUUCCUCAUCCAAAGAAGUAUCGUAGGAAGGAGAAGAAAUUUAAGUGGUUUAUGGAGAUCUUCAAGAAAUUGGAAAUUAAAGUUCCUAUGAUUGAGACAUGGAAACAGGUCCUUGGUUUUUAUCAAAUUCCUAAAGAGAUUCAGUAGAAAUAAGAAAAGAAAAGGAUACUAGGAAG